Molecule: ribosomal RNA, 304 nt
Filed under: Aeromonas salmonicida subsp. salmonicida 01-B526
Lineage: Bacteria; Pseudomonadati; Pseudomonadota; Gammaproteobacteria; Aeromonadales; Aeromonadaceae
Description: bacterial SSU rRNA
Rfam family: Bacterial small subunit ribosomal RNA
Source: RNAcentral
CAAAGAUUUAUCGCCCAAGGAUGAGCCCGCGUAGGAUUAGGUAGUUGGUGGGGUAAUGGCCCACCAAGCCGACGAUCCUUAGCUGGUCUGAGAGGAUGAUCAGCCACACUGGGGACUGAGACACGGCCCAGACUCCUACGGGAGGGCAGCAGUGGGGAAUCUUAGACAAUGGGGGAAACCCUGAUCUAGCCAUGCCGCGUGAUCGAUGAAGGCCUUAGGGUUGUAAAGAUCUUUCAGAUGGGAAGAUAAUGACGGUACCAUCAGAAGAAAGCCCCCGGCUAACUCCGUGCCAGCGCCGCGGUAA